This 689-nucleotide long non-coding RNA is filed under the name Mytilus galloprovincialis (Mediterranean mussel). The record is from RNAcentral. Lineage: Eukaryota; Metazoa; Mollusca; Bivalvia; Mytilida; Mytilidae.
AUUGCUGUCCUAUUUGUUCAUCUAUGGUAUUUGAAGUGAAAAUAAGCACAAAACCAGUCAUUUUGACAAUUAAGAUUCUAUCAAGGAACCCUAUUAAGGUGACUAUAUCAGAGACAAAAACAAAACGUGUACACUACACAUAAAAAAGAAGAUGUGGUAUGAUUGCCAAAGAGACAACUUUCCACAAGAGACCAAAAUGACACAGAAAUUACCAACUAUUAUAGGUCACCGUACGGUCGUCAACAAUGAAUAAAGCCCAUACCGCAUAGUCAUCUUUAAAAUGUCCCGAAAUAACAAUGGAAAACGACUUCGGAAAACUAACGGCUUAUUUAUGUACAAAAAAUGAACGAAAAACAAAUAUGUAACACAUAAACAAACAACCACUGAAUAAGUAUACAAGACAAAAAGAAAAGGACAGUACAAAAUAUGUAAAGAAUCUAAUCUUAAAUAAAAAUGAAAAUAAUCCUCGUACAAAAUAAAUAUUUAUAUAUACCGAAAAGAUUCUCUGGAAAGUUAAUUGGCAUAUUUUGAAUUUUACUUAAUAUAUUAUUCACCAGCAAUUUUAGAAAAAUAAUAAAUACAUAUUUGAACAAUACAACAAAGAAUUUUUCAGCACAGGAUCGGGAUAUUGUAACUUGAUAUGUACCAUAGUUUGUUUGAAAAAGUGUGAGGGAAUCGACACAUACACC